UUUCAUUCCCUCAAGGAAGAAGGCCUCUUGCGCCAUGAAGGUGUGUGCUCAAUUAGUCUCUCUCUGGACUGAAGGCCUAGCCAUGGGACAAGGCAGUAUUUACACAAAACACAGGAGGCACCUUAGAGCAGGAAAUACAAGGGGCACUUGCUGACCUGGGGCCACCUUAGCCCUCCUGAAAGCAGCGGGAUGCAGAGUGGAAGCGGCUGGGUAUGUUUCCCAUGCACACCUACUAACAUCUCUUCUGCUAGCACAGGAGGUCAGGUGAGUUUUGCAAAAGCAUAGUGACCCCCUGAAGAGAUGACUCACAUGUGUGAUGCUAAGCUGGUUAAAUGUGUUGCCAGCUCUACAGGUGAUAAACUCCCUUUUCCUCCUUAGCCACCCUCAACUCACGUAUGGAGGCAAAGAUAAUUUUAUUCUACAACUCAUGUCUCAGGUACUUGUGGUAGAGAACGACUGCAGGAAAAUAGACUCCCAGCACAAUGUCAGCUAGCAACCUGUGAAAAGAACAAAUACAGCAAAUCCAAAGGGGCCCGGUUUCAAAGAAGUUGGGAAUAGGAGAGAAGUUCUGCCUUUCAGCUUGGAACUCUCCUCAAUCACUGCUAUCUCCAGUAAGAGCUCAUGCAUAUUUGAGGCUGUUGGUGUGAUUAAGGAUUUGGCAAUUUGUACCAACAAUCUGUCAUUUGAAACCACAUAGUUUAUAGGAACCACAGAAAUCAGUAGGAUAUUUCUGCAUAUAAGGGCCAUUGAUGUCAGCGUGAGCUGGACAGUCCAACCCUCAGAGUCUGCUGUAAUCAGCCAAAUAAGGAUCAAAGGCACAAAGCACAUGCAAAGCAAUACAGCAAGGAUAUCUGAAAAGGCCCCAGAAACAUUUGAGUUGCAUCUGUCAACAACUUCCUGAAACUGAGCAUUAAGUAUGCUUCCAUUUUGCCCCAUACCAGAUCCUGCUGCCAUUGAGAGAAAGCCCCCAUUGAAAGAUGUUGAGUGAUUUGAUUGUCCCUGGAAAGGCUGGAAAUCAGACAUAAGAAUGGAUUUAUUCCAUUCUUAAUAAGCCUUUUAAAAUUAACCAGCCAAAUCAACUACAGUAGUAUUCCACAGGUGCAGUUAAAUUUUAUUUAUGUCAGUCUUUAAUUGAAUCCUUCUCCAUAGUGGAAGAACAUUAAAUUAGCCAAGUUAGUUCAAAGCUAGAGUUGAUUCAUGGAGGGAUUAAGGUGGGGUGUGAAACCUUGGUUCUUCUUUCUUCUUGCAUGCAUUAUGAUUAAGUGUCAUCAGUGGGCAUGUGGUAUUUUGAAUUAAUAAAAGAUGAUGUAAAAUAUCCAUAAGCCCUAAAUCUGAGAUAUCUGAAAUAUUUGGCAGUAAGGAGGAUACUGCACUUAGAGUUACUGUUUCUCAAAUUCAUGUAAAGUAACUCACCCCACUGCACAACAGAUUCCAAUAUUUUGUUCUUUCAUAAUAGCGAUUAGAUCAAUUAUACCUCAGCUGUAAGAGAAAGGUACAAUACAAUUGCUCCUACUUCUCAGACAAAUUUCCCAUAACCUAUCUCUCUGUCACACUUUCAAAUUUAACCUUUACAGUGAGAUGGUUUUUUAAAUUAAAAUAUCUAGAAUCCCACUGAAACCUUGCUUUCAACUAAAUCUCAUGUCAAACUGUAUUGGCUGUACGUUAAGUGCUAGAAAGGAUUGGAAACAAAAAUCUACAUUAAACACUGUUAUAUAUUUAAUAAUUACUGUGCAUACUUCCCUGAUCUCCCAUCAAGGGAAAUAUCUAGAUUUAUGCCUAGUAUUCCUUAGCAAAUACCCCUUUACUUUUCCAGGAAUGCUGCUGUCUAGUCUGGACAGUGUGGUGCCUGGACAAGUAACAAACCUAGAGUAUCACUACCAAAGGCAGUGAACUGGAGGAACUGAAAGAGCCUUUCUCAGCUGGGGUGUGAGGUGUAGCAUGGAUAAAGAGGGUCCUGGGAGACACUGUGACAGAGUUUGGGAGCCAAGGCAGAGGUAAGUCCACCAUAGGGAUGCCUGAGCACACCCCUCUUCUAUGGCACAGGCCGUAAUGUAUUAGACCUGUAAAUAUUGGUAUCUGCAGUUAAAAAUGAAAGUGAAGAAUUUUUAGCUUUCCUAUGUAUUCUCGGGCUUGUUGCUUUGGAACAGGAAUGCACUGUCAUAAUAUCUCUUACGUGUUGCCAUGUCUUGCGGUUGCUUGGAUUGUCAAUGGGUUGUUUUUUCACUGCAGACUAUUGAAAAGGGGCCUCACAUGCUGCAGACCAUAUGUGAGAGUUGCUUUCCUCAAUGCAGUAAUAAACAGCCACGAGAUAAAAUAUCCCCAAAUAAUGAGAUUACUGACAUGGGAUACAGCUUUCAAAAAUAAUUACAUUUGACACCCUCAUCAGCAGCUUGUAGGGGCUGCAAGCUCUAAGCUUGGGAACAGUGUAUGAAAGCUUAGCUUCUCCUGGGAAAGGAGGCACAAGGGAGGUUAUUUUUAGUACUUCGGAGAGAAAAAAAAAAGCCAGAAUUUAAGCACUCUUUGGUUUGAUACCCUCGUUAUGGAGGGGAUCAUGGACAAAUAAAGCAAAAGCGGGAGUGGAAAUGUUACUGAGGAUGGGAACUGGGAGCAAGAGGUUGAACAGAGCAAAGCGGGAGCGGUAGGGUCAGAACGGAACGAGGUGGGGCGGCGGAGGGGCGCUCCGGUUACCCCGCCACGCCUCCCCGUCCCGUCCUCGCUUCUACCGGUCGAUACAUUAACAACCCAGCGACGGCGGAGCAAGCGGUUCCGUUUUCGCCACGGUAUAUAUAGAUCAGACACUUUCCAAAACAAGCAGCGCCGCCAAGUCGCUCUGUUCCGCGGCGCGGCUUCUUCCACCCGUAAUUCAGAAAAGAAAAA
Non-coding RNA from Cyanistes caeruleus (blue tit), 2877 nucleotides. The record is from RefSeq and is a predicted model, not a curated record. NCBI's taxonomy places the organism in Eukaryota, Metazoa, Chordata, Aves, Passeriformes, Paridae.